Oncorhynchus mykiss (rainbow trout) is the source of this 598-nucleotide non-coding RNA. The record is from RefSeq and is a predicted model, not a curated record. NCBI's taxonomy places the organism in Eukaryota, Metazoa, Chordata, Actinopteri, Salmoniformes, Salmonidae.
AAUAAAUGUGGGGUUUUCCAUACAUUCGCUAAGUAACCGAACUGCUGUUGUCCAAAUAGAAAAACGUAUAAUUGUUUCGUGAUCCAUCUGGGUUUUCAUUAUCAACCCUAUACAGAGCUCUCUAGUGGCUGGUGCCUCAGCGCCGUUCAUCCCCCUCCCAGGCCAUGCAUGUGUGACGCUGAUUAGAGCCCUGACGGAAACCUCAGCCACUCGUCUGCGAAAUGAGAAGAGGUGAUUCCACGCUCUGUAAAAUCUACAAGCCCUCUGUGUCUGAUAGGGUGCUGUUAUACACAGGUUGGGCUGCGUUCAUCCCUUUCUAAGGAGAGUGAGAAUGGGGAGUUCUCCUCCCACUCCCCUCACACAGGAGAUGGCCACUCUCUUUGAUAUGAUGCCCGAAUCCUUUCCUUUCCCCCCCUGAAGAAACUGGCCCGCAGAUGUUGCUACGCCGACUACAAAGAAGAAGCUCUUUAUGAGGAGAACGUCUAUUUUGGUCCCUGUGUGUUUCUGUUUCCGAGAUGUGGUGCUUUGAGAGGUAGAGACCUGAUCUUUUAGCUCAAGACUUGUUUUAUUCCUUGCCGAGAUAUUUUUUUUUAUUAAA